RNAcentral lists this non-coding RNA (30 nucleotides) under Mus musculus (house mouse). Lineage: Eukaryota; Metazoa; Chordata; Mammalia; Rodentia; Muridae. The record is from RNAcentral.
UGAUUGGCUCAAAGGACAACUUACACAGGC